CUCGCCCCGAUUCUUCCUCUUCUUCCCCUUCCCUCUCACUUUCCUCAUCUUCAUUCGCCAGGCAACUGUGUCGACGGAAGACGCUGGAGACGAUGCACGGCAGGGUGUCUUGCUGCGAGAAGCUUCCGUCGUCCGGGCGCGCUUCGAUGCUGCCAGAGGAGGCGCUGUCGUGCUCGCCUACACGCGCAAGCUGCGGGUUUUUUUGCAAUGCAGGGGCUCGCUGCUGCUAGCCCGCAUGAGCUGGCUCCAAGGGUCGGGCGCUACAACUUGAGGAGCUCCAAGCUGACUACCUGUUGUGGCUCUACGGAGUUGCUCAUGCGACGCGGUGAGUGCUGUUUUGGUGGCUGGAGACGCUGUGUGUGCGGGGAUGGAAGUGAUCUUGUGGUUCUGUCAUCAGCGAAUCUAGUAGCCCAAAUCAUACUGUGUAUUGACACAUUUUCUAUUUCUCAAGGGGCCGUCCGUCCUCCUGCUGAUUGGAUUGUGCUUCUUCGUUCUGUUCCCUUCUUCCUCUGGUUGUUGAUGCCUCAAGCAGCCGCUGCCGAUUAUGUGCUUGUAGUUGUUUCUUCAGUUCCCUUCC
Molecule: ribosomal RNA, 577 nt
Filed under: Triticum aestivum (bread wheat)
Lineage: Eukaryota; Viridiplantae; Streptophyta; Magnoliopsida; Poales; Poaceae
Description: partial small subunit ribosomal RNA
Source: RNAcentral